This 721-nucleotide ribosomal RNA is filed under the name uncultured bacterium. Its description in RNAcentral is "bacterial SSU rRNA". It matches the Rfam family "Bacterial small subunit ribosomal RNA", at positions 1 to 758 of the family's 1533-position model. The record is from RNAcentral.
CCCGGGCGAAUUCCAAGCUUAGUUUGAUCCUGGCUCAGAACGAACGCUGGCGGCAGGCUUAACACAUGCAAGUCGAGCGCCUCGCAAGGGGAGCGGCAGACGGGUGAGUAACGCGUGGGAAUCUACCCUUUCCUACGGAAUAACACAGAGAAAUUUGUGCUAAUACCGUAUACGCCCUUCGGGGGAAAGAUUUAUCGGGGAAGGAUGAGCCCGCGUCGGAUUAGCUAGUUGGUGGGGUAAUGGCCCACCAAGGCGACGAUCCGUAGCUGGUCUGAGAGGAUGACCAGCCACAUUGGGACUGAGACACGGCCCAAACUCCUACGGGAGGCAGCAGUGGGGAAUAUUGGACAAUGGGCGCAAGCCUGAUCCAGCCAUGCCGCGUGAGUGAUGAAGGCCUUAGGGUUGUAAAGCUCUUUCACCCACGACGAUAAUGACGGUAGUGGGAGAAGAAGCCCCGGCUAACUUCGUGCCAGCAGCCGCGGUAAUACGAAGGGGGCUAGCGUUGUUCGGAUUUACUGGGCGUAAAGCGCGCGUAGGCGGACCGUUAAGUCGGAGGUGAAAGCCUGGGGCUCAACCCCAGAACUGCCUUCGAUACUGGCGGUCUCGAGUCCGGGAGAGGUGAGUGGAACUGCCAGUGUAGAGGUGAAAUUCGUAGAUAUUGGCAAGAACACCAGUGGCGAAGGCGGCUCACUGGCCCGGUACUACGCUAGUCAAAGCGACC